UCCACCAACAGCCACUCUAAUAGCAAAAUUUAGCUCAUUUUCUUGUCUUCUUAUUUGUUUACAUACUUUUCUUUAGUUUUCGUGCCCCUAGUUGGACUUUGUGCUGAUAUCUUUGCUGAUCUUUGUUGCAGUGGGAUUUCCACUUGAGGGCUUGUUACAACCUUAAUUGUGCGGCGGCAUCCGCCUUUCAAACCCAUCAGAGU
Molecule: long non-coding RNA, 203 nt
Filed under: Ricinus communis (castor bean)
Lineage: Eukaryota; Viridiplantae; Streptophyta; Magnoliopsida; Malpighiales; Euphorbiaceae
Description: long non-coding RNA (RCOM_LNC002785)
Source: RNAcentral